Molecule: microRNA precursor, 84 nt
Organism: Pediculus humanus corporis (human body louse)
Lineage: Eukaryota; Metazoa; Arthropoda; Insecta; Psocodea; Pediculidae
Source: RefSeq, a predicted model, not a curated record
CCGUCCAUUCUGCUUUGCUGACCUAGCUUUAUGAAGACUGAAUAUUACUCCGCAAAGCUAGGUAACCAAAGAAGAAGAGAUGAG